CCUACGGGAGGUAGCAGUGGGGAAUAUUGCACAAUGGGGGAAACCCUGAUGCAGCGACGCCGCGUGAGUGAAGAAGUAAUUCGUUACGUAAAGCUCUAUCAGCAGGGAAGAAACACUUACCUUACGGUCAGCAGACGGUACCUGAGUAAGAAGCCCCGGCUAACUACGUGCCAGCAGCCGCGGUAAUACGUAGGGGGCAAGCGUUAUCCGGAUGUACUGGGUGUAAAGGGAGCGUAGACGGUUGGCCAAGUCUGGAGUGAAAUGCCGCAGCUUAACUUCGGAACUGCUUUGGAAACUGGCGAACUAGAGUGCGGGAGGGGUAAGCGGAAUUCCUAGUGUAGCGGUGAAAUGCGUAGAUAUUAGGAGGAACACCGGUGGCGAAGGCGGCUUACUGGACCGUAACUGACGUUGAGGCUCGAAAGCGUGGGGAGCAAACAGGAUUAGAUACCCUAGUAGUC
Molecule: ribosomal RNA, 458 nt
Filed under: uncultured bacterium
Lineage: Bacteria
Description: partial 16S ribosomal RNA
Rfam family: Bacterial small subunit ribosomal RNA
Source: RNAcentral